CCCAAACCUCAAGGCGUUAGGAAGCAUGAUAUAGCAAAACCUAGCUUAUGUUUCCUAUGAGCGUCAAUGCUGCUCCUGGCUCAGUAUCCAUGGAAACCCGGUCUCCUAUCCUGCUGCAGGAAUUAACUGAAGAUCGCAGCCACUUAUUUGAAGAAUCCCUUUGAUAUCAACUCACAUCAAGGUUUCAGAUGCGGGAGGCUUCGUGCUCAUGGGCUCUUGUCCUGAUGGGAGACUUCAACCAUCCAGAUAUCUCUUGGAAAGACCACACGGAGAGCUGCAAGAGGUGCAGGAGGCUCCUGGAAUAUGUCGAUGAUAACUUUCUGGUCCAGGUAUUGGACAGACCGACCAGAGGUGAAGCAUUGCUGGACCUGCUGCUCAUCAAUGGGGAGGAAAUCAUUAAAGGUGCUAAGGUUGGAGGCAGCCUGGGUUGCAGUGAGCACGCCCUGGUUGAAUUCAUGUCUCGAGGGAUGUGGGCCUGGCAAAGAGCAGUGUCAGGAUCCUAAACUUUGGAAGAGCGAACUUUAAGCUGUCCAAUGGACUGUUGACCAAGAUCCCCUGGGACACUGUCUUAAAAACAAAGAUGUUGAGGAGAGCUGGCUACUCUUCAAGGAUGCCUUCCUGAGAGCACAAGAGCUCUCCAUUCUUCUGAAUAAGAAAGCAGGCAGAGCACGUAGGAAGCUGGUGUGGCUCGGUAAGGAGCUGCUGGGCAGCUGAGGGUGAAGAAAGGUGCGUAGGAAACAAGGAUGUGUCACCUGGGAAGAAUACAGGGAUGCCAUCGGGACUUGCAGACAUGGGAUCAGGAAAGCUAAUGCACAGGUGGAGCUGAACUUGGCGAGGGAUGUGAAAAACAAUAGGAAGACUUUCUACAGGUACAUUGGCCAGAAGAAACAGGUCAAACGAAGUGUGCCUCCUUUGGUAAAUGUAAAAGGAGAGCUGGCUUCAACGAAGAGAAGACUGAGGUACUGAAUGAGUUCUUUGCCUUGGUCUUCACUGGCGGCCAGGACUCCUGUACUCCUCACGCGCCUGAGCUCUGCAUCCCUAAAUCUCCAGGUGGGGACUGGGGUGUUAAAUCCCCCCCCCCACUGUGAGAACAGAGCAGGUCCAAGACCACCUUACGAGAGUGAAUGUGUACAAGUCUAUGGGCCGGAUGGCUGCAUCCCAGGGCUCUGAAGGAGCUGGCUGAGGUGGUUGCCGAGCCGCUUUCUGUCAUAUUUGAAAAGCUGUGGCUGUCAGAUGAGGUCCCAGAUGUCUGGAGGAAGGGUCACAUCACUGCCAUUGACAAGAAAGGGAGCAAGGAGGAACCCGGGAACUACAGGCCGGUGAGUCUCACCUCUGUGCCUGGGAAGAUCAUAGAAUAGAUCCUCCUGGAUGACACGCUAGAUCACAUGAGGAAUGAGCGUGUGAUCUGAGACAGCCAGCUUGGCUUCACCAGGGGAAGGUCAGGCUUGACCAAUCUGGUGGCCUUCUGUGAUGGAGUGACAGCAUUGGUGGACAAGGGAAAGACGACCGAUGUCACUUACCUGAACUUGAGCGAGACCUUUGACAUGGUCCCUCACCACAUCCUUAUCUCCAAAUUGGAGGGAUGUGGAUUUGAUGGAUGAACCACUCGAUGAAUAAGAAACUGGUUGAAAGGCCACAGACAGAGGGUGGUCAUCAAUGGCUCUGUGUCCAGGUGGACGCCGGUAAGGAGUGGCAUCCCCCAGGGCUCUGUCUUGGGACCGGUGCUCUUUAACAUCUUCAUCAAUGACAGCGAUGACGGAAUCGAGUGCACCCUCAGCAAUUUGCUGAUGACACCAAGCUGAGUGGAGCAGUCGACACAGUAGAAGGCAGGGAUGCCAUUCACAGGGACCUCGAGAGGCUGGAAAGGUGGGCAGGGUGAACCUGAUGAGGUUCAACACAGCAAAGUGCAGAGUUUUGCACUUGGGCCAGAGGAAUCCCAGGCAUCCGUACAGACUGGAAGGAGCGGUGCUUGAGAGCAGCCCUGUGGAGAAGGACCUGGGGGUCUUGAUAGAUGAAAAGCUUAACAUGAGCCAGCAGUGUGCCCUUGCAACUCGGAAGGCAAAUGGUGUCCUGGGCUCCAUCAGCAGAGGGGUGGCCAGCAGGGACAGGGAGGUGAUUGUCCCCCUCUACUCUGCUCUUGUGAGGCCCCAUCUGCAGUACUGUGUCCAGGUCUGGAGCCCCCAGUACAAGAAAGACAGGGAGCUGUUGGAGGGGGUGCAGAGGAGCCACAAAGAUGAGCAGGGGACUGGAGCACCUCCCCUACAAAGACAGGCUGAGGGAGCUGGGCUUGUUCAGCCUGGAGAAGAGAAGCUGCGGCGUGACCUCAUUGCAGCCUUCAGUACCUAAAAGGGAGCCUACAGACAGGAGAGGAAUCAACUCUUUGAAAGGGCAGAUAACAGCAGGACAAGGGGAAAUGGCUUUAAGUUGAGGAAGGGGAGAUUGAGGUUGGAUGUCAGUGGGAAAUUCUUUACAGAGAGAGUGGUGAGGUGCUGGAACAGCUGCCCAGAGAGGCCAUGGAUGCCCCGUCCCUGGAGGUGCUCAAGGCCAGGCUGGAUGGGGCCCUGGGCAGCCUGGGCUGGCACUAAGUGGGAAGGUUGGCGGCCCUGCAUGUGGCAGGGGGGUGAAGAUUCAUGAUCCUUGAGCUCCCUUCCAACCCUGGCCAUUCUGUGAUACGAUGGACUUUCCCGGCCACCAGGGCACAGUGCUGGUUUGUGGCCAACCUCUUGUCUACCAGGACAUUCAGAUUCUUCUCUGCAGAGCUCCCCUCCAGUAGGUCAUCCCCUACCCUGUACUGAGAUGCAUGCAGUUAUUCCGACACAGAUGCAAGUCUCUACCCUUGCUGUUGUUAAAUCUCAUCAGGUUCCUCCCUGUCCAACUCGUCAACUUGUCAACUUGUGCAGACUUUGUUGGGUGGUAGCACAGCCUUCUGGUGUGUCAACCUCAUCUCCAAGCUUUGUAUAAUCAGCAAACUUGCUGAGUGUGGACAUUGACAAUGAAGAUGUUGAACAAGACUGUCCCUGGCACUGACCCCUGGGAAUACCACUAGUUACAGGCCUCCAACCAGCCUCUGCACCUGUGAUGACAUUAUGCCCAGUCAGCCAGGUCACAAUCCACUGAGUUACUUCUUUAGGGUGGAUGUUUUCUUCUACCACAGAUGUGUACACCGGUGUGCAAUGACUUUGCUCACGUAGUCUACGUUCCUCUUGGUUAUCUGCUUGGUUGCACCUCUGCUAGUUAUUAUCAAUUAGACUCUUCUUUCUCCACUUCCGGUUUUUGCUCUUUUGCUGCAUGGAAAUUUACCAUAAUCCCAGCAUACAUGUUAGCUCACUUUCUGAAAAUAAUCUGAAUUACUUUGGCAGGACUGUAUCUCCUGCUUCACUUCUAGAACAUAGAUUCAAUUAAGCCUGUAGAAGUCAAUUAAGGUCAUGUCUGGUUCUUUUUUUUUUUUCUUCUGUAAGCUGAAUACCGGUAGCUUUUGCAGUGUUCCACUGUGAUGAUGGCAGAAUCUCCAUAGCAACAACACGUUUGCAUUCCUAUAGAGCUUAUAGGCACAAUAUAAUGUCUAUCUGAAAAAGCUUUUUGAUAAAUAUAAUCACAGUUAUGUAGUUUGUGUUCUUAAGGAUGUAUUCUCACUAAGAUAAUAAAAUUGUAACUAAAAAGUUUUGCUUAUUUGCUUCACAUUUUCACUGUUCUAUCUUUAUUGGAGGGUAGAACAACAACAUUUCUUUGAUACUAAGUAAUUGGAAGUUUUUACCUCCUUCCCCUGUAAUUCACUAACACACAAACAUGCGUAAGAGCUGUCUGGAUUGUUUAAACAAACUUUCCCUGAAAUUUUUUUUCUUCUGCAGAACCUCUGAUUAUUUUCUUCAGAUGUAACAUUUCAAGAAAGUCUUCACCCACCAUCCAAGAAAAUAUUUUCAUGAAGUACACACAAGUAAACAAAACAGAUUAGAAAAAAAGCAGCCAAAUGGUGAGGUACAAUUACACGAAAUACAACAAUUCACACACAACAUAUAUACAUUUUAAGACUGGAAUCAGAACAUCAUGGGUACCAUCUUACCCUAAAUUCUACCACUUCUAGCAAGUGGACUAAGAGACUUUAAAAUGAAGCUCCCUUAUUUUUUUCUUUACCAUCAUCUGUCGCAUGAUCCAGUAGAAAGCAGACCUGGUUUCACGUGUCAAAUCCAGGACAGAAGCACAAAGACUUUACACUCAAGUCAUUUCAUUUGUUAGUAACCUUGUUUUCAUUUCUGAUGCCCUACGUGACUAAAUGAUAUCUGUGAUUAGGAAACAACUCCAAUAGUUCCUAGAUAUUUCAAGAACACAGACUAUUUCCCUCUCCAACCAGUAGAAAAGAGCAUGCCAGCUCAGGACAGGCUGAAUUUUGGCUAAGCAUUUCAACUCAAAUCAAACACAGAGACUCAGACAGUUCAUUGUUGCAGUUACUAAGUCCAGACACAAACCAUAGUCCCUCAGCUCAAGAACCCAGGUACUAUCCAAAGCACAAAGUAGAAAGAUGUCAAGAGAACCCUGCUAACUGAACGCAUCUCUUAUUACGUUCACUAUAUAACUGCUUGCCCUGAUUAUCCACUUUACUGGCUAGGACCAACCAUUGAUGCCAACCACUGAAAGUUAUUCCCAUGGUCCUUUUUUCCCCCUCACCUGUUAAUUUCACAUACCCUCUCUGCCCAUUUGUUAGCAACACAGGUGCCUCAGUAAGUUUGCUGAGUUCUUGCUACCUGUUCUGUGGGACUGCAGAUUUAUCACCAAUAUCACACAAAUAUUCUAGCUAUGUAGCACUGACUAAUAAUUCAUGCCUCUGCAGAUGAUAUUCACCACUCUCCAACUCUGCAUAUGUAUAUAAAUCCUUUCAUCCCUCUAUCCCUCCUCCUCCCCCCCAAAGUUAUUUGUAGUUGCAACUGAGGUGGGUCUCAGUUGCACAAGCAAAAAGGCCAUAUAUAUAUAUAUAGUUGUGUUUUCAAUCCAAGUCUUCAUUUAACAGUUAGAAAGUGGAAUCAUUAUUAAAUGGCAACAUAUAAAUGAGGAAACAAACCAGAUUCUUUAAAUUUGCCUUGAUUUGUAUGUAGCAGAAAUAGUAGGAUUUUGUAUUAAUUUUCAUAUCUUCAUUCAACAGCGGAGGGGGAAAGAUAGAAAACUAAGCAUAAGUGAAGGACAUAGAGAAAUUUAAACUAUUUAGGACAGUGCUUUGAGAAACUAACAAAACACUAGCCUUUUAAAGAAAUAUGCUCAAAGCACAGGAAAGAGGAACUUCUGGGGAGUGGGGGGGGGAGAGAGGAGGGCAAGAAAAGAAAAUAUAAAGGGAAAUAUGUAAGCUCAACAGCAAAGAACAAAAGGGCAUACCUGCAAUUAUCUGCAAAUUUUUUCUAAUGACAGAUUUCCAAUGUAAGUUAUACAAAGCAUUUAACUAACAAAAUAAAUUACAAGUGAAAAGUGAGUAAAUCAACUUCAUCCUCUUCCCCUAAAUCAAAUAACUAACUUCGACUCUUUCAAAACAACAUUUACUGAACAAUGCCACCUUAUACUUCUGCUUGAAGCACUACUUGGAAAAAAGACUCCUUUAAAACAUUAGCAAUAUGCAAUAUUCAAAAUUUAGUUUUUGAUGAUGCCUUUUUGCCUUGUCAGCUAUUACAGCCUACAGCAAAUGGAUACAGCUUGAACAGAUGCAAUGCAAGUGUCCUAAAGACUCUUUAAUCCUAUCAGAAGGGCUGUAUUUACAGAUUCGUGACCCUUAUUGCCAGGGAGAAGGACCUGACCAGGAAAGCUGCUUUUAAAAGUAUAAUCAAGUGAAUUAAGAAUUAGUUGGUACCCUCUUGAAUGAAACCACACACAAACACACACAGAACAGUACUCUGGAGAGAAAAGGAAGGAAAACAAGUCCUUUGGAAUGGGAGGGAAAAAAAAAGAACAAAAUAGCAAGAUAUCAAAGAGAUAAUACACAAUGAUCUUCCUUAAAAGAGCCUGGGUAAGAAAGCAGGUAUGACACAAGAUCUUGAUGCUUAGGGUUUUGAUAUUUAAUAGAAUAUUUGUAGAAUCACACAAUGACUUGCGUUGGAAGAGACCAAAAGACCACCUAAUUCCAGCCCUCAUGCCACCACUUUGCAGCAAUUAACCAAACAUUUUGACUCUACAAAAACACUAGAGAAAUAAUUUUAAAAAAACCUUCUAUCAUAAAAACAAAUCAAAACAACAAACCAGUCGUUAAACACCACAAUGAUUUAGAGCAUGAGUAAAAAGAUGACAGGGUCAGGAAGCAGCUUUUCCAAGACGUGUGUUAAUUCCACACUACCCACUGGUCAUCACAUGAAGCAAGCAGCAUCAGAGAGAGAAGACAGGACUAUUUGAAUCAAUUCAGUUUGGCUUGGUGUUUUUUUUUCUCCAACUAUUUUCUGACUUAAUGGCCUGGGAGCACCUCAGCGACUCCAUCGAUUAGCUGGAGCAACCCUGUGGUAAAUGCAAAUCAGAACAGGUAGCUUUUACAGAAGUUAGCUUCUAAAUGAAGUUUCAAUUCUAUUUAACUAAAGACAUGCCCAAUAUUCAUGUGAUAAUAGCAAUACCUUAAUGUCCAUUCAGUUUUCAGACAAGGCCUAGGGAAAAAGAGUAAGCUUGAAAAAUUCUGCAAUGUGUCUUUGACCAAACUCAUAUCCUGCAUAUUUCCCCUUAAAAGUUAGGCGUAGUGUUGGUAGUACGGAGAUUUUACAUUAUCUCUAUGCUAGCACAGAGCCAUUUGCUGCAUGAAAGAUUUAGUCAUGAGAGUCACUUGUACCUCCUUUAACAUCUAUCUACUGUAAAUAUUCCUACAAUCAUUAUUCCUUCUUGCAGUGGCUUGUAAUGUCUCUUGGGGUCUCGACCGCUUCAGAGCAGCCAAAACUUAGCACUGAUCUGAAAGCGCUAUGCUGUUUAGCUCUCUGAUCUCACGGUGGAGAGGUGGAACAGAAACAUACCAAAGCUAUGCUACACGUUUAAUAAUGUUCUCUGUUGCUGUACUAAACGAUUCUCCUUCCUACAGCAACUUCCUGAUAUGUCCUUCACCAGUCUUGAAUCUAAAUUUCUGUGUAUGAUGUAGCAGGUAAGAGAACUCUUCUUUCUCAGAAUCACAAAGAUUGCACGUAGUUUCACUGUACGCCUAUUAAAAUUCCAAUAUAUUUUGGGAUGGAAAUCCCUUGUAUUAAUGCAAUCCUAUAUGGUUAAAAAAUGAAGUCAUUGUUUUUCCUGAAAUAUUUGUGCUGUUAAUUAGCUUGUUGAUUUAAAAUGAAACAAACAUACAAAAAACCUUAACCUCUAUCAGUUUUUCAGAAUGCUACCUCUCUGUUGCCAUGGUCACAAGUUACCAUAGAAACUAUUAGACUCAUCUGUAUUUUUAGAUUAAACUUACUUCUACUUUCACAAAAUAUGGAUUAAAUCGAUGGAAACUACUGAUUCUUACCAGGAAAUACUACAAAAUUCAAGCCACAAAUUAGAGUGACACUGCUGAGGCACACAUACACAAAGAAAUAGUUUAAUUGCAGAGGAAACAAAGAGUUGCAAUCACUACCAUUUACAGAGCUCCUUCAUGAGCUAGAAAACAGUCUGAAUAGACAAUUAAAAGCUCUGAGGACAGUUACUGUCUAAUACUGUUGUAGCCAUAAGCUUUGCUAGAAAAUGUUUAAAUUAAAAAGCCCAGCAAGUUUGAACAGCCUUUUUAGAUAGGAGAUAAGUGCAGCAUUACUUCAUAUUUCUCCGCUAAUGCCCCUCCCUUUUUUUCUUUUUAUUUUUUAAGGUCGAUUUUACUUAUUUAUGCCCUCUCUUUCUAAGCAGGAAUUUCACUGACAUGAUGUUCGACCAGUCACACUCAAGCUAUUUCCAGGCAGGUCUUUGCUCCCUCACUCAGUGAUUUCAUGUUGCAUCGUGCCCUCUGCUGGGCAAACAUAAAUUCACAACCCUGCGAAUCAAAUGCCUUUAGAUCAGCACCGCGCUAAGGGGAAACUUCAUCACGAAAGUGUCAUAGCAGAAACAAGCAUUAUUAUGUAGUCUUUAAUUUGUGCACUUCAAGGAAGGUGACCUUCGCCUGGCUAGAUUCAUCUCAGCUUUUCCAUUUUUUUCUCUGGACUCUCAUUCAAACAAUGCUAGCUUAUACACAGCUCAGUAUACCUGAAGUUAGAUGUGAACUCAGGGUCAAAUAUCAAAAUAAGUUUCGCCUACCUCUGUGAUUCUCAACAUUUGAGAAAUAAUAUGAGCAGGAAAAUCAGAAGUGAUGAGUCAAUCAACUCAGUGAUUUCCCCAGGAGGCAGCCCAUGAAUACAAAAUAAGGUUUGAAGAUCUGUGUUGUUUAAUUUAAGAAAGUCAUCUAAAGAAAUUCAGCUUGCUUUCUUGUUGAUAAGUUUUUUAUCUUAAGUAAUGCUCAGUGACGUAGUUUCUGUGUAAAAACAUUGCCUAAGUUGUAAAAUCUGGAACUAUGUGAAGCAAGCAAUGGCGCAGGUAAUCCAACAGCAACAAAAUACACACAACUGCCGAUUUCUCAAUUUAUUAACUGAAUCCUGCUACUCCUUAACAUUUUAUUGAUCGUAAACUAACUUAAUUUUCUAUUUUAAAUCCUCAUUGCAUAUUUUUGUCAUAGUUCUUCAAGGUAAUCUGCUGCAGUUCUCUGAGUUAUAUCUUCACACAACUGCUUUCCUGACUUUGUAAUUUUCCAGCAGAAUCUUUUCUUUCUCUACUUUACAUCUCCAUUGACAUAGAAUGACUAGCAAUAACUCAAGACUGCAACUAAUGCUAAGGAGAGCAUUCUAGGUGCUGACCUGCAUUCUGAGCAGAAGUUUGCCUUACAACAUUUUGUGCAGCACUGUUUACACUGCUCCUGAAAGCUCUAAGAGUCAGUUGGAAUACUUAGUGAGAGUAAAUAAUGAAAAACAUUUCCUCAAAUGAAUUCUCUCCAACCCCUUUUUGGCAAGGUUCCUCUGAUAUUCCAUACAAUUUUCUCUGGCUUUGACUUUUUUCUCCUCUGCUUGCACUGGGAAUUAAUUUUUGAAAAUUUAGAGUCAAAACUACCCGUACUCUGGUGGAAAAUGUUCUCUGAUAUUCACAGUUAGAAUUACAGUCUAUCACGAGUUGGGUGGGACCCACAAGGACCAUUGAGUAUGUAAGUCCUGGCUCCAUACAGGACCACCCAAACCAACCAACCAAGCAAGCAACCAACCAAACAACCGCAUUACAUCUGAGUGUUGUCCCAGUACUUCUUGAUCUCUAGCAGCUUGGGGCCAUGGUUACUAACUAGCCUGGGGAGCCUGUUCCAUGCCCACCACCCUUUGAUGCACAACUCUUCCCAAAUAUCCAGCCUGACUCUCUCCUGACAAAACUCCACAUUGUUCCCUUGAGUCCCGUCCCCGCCACCAGAGCUCAGAGCUCAGCACUGCCCCUCCACUCCAUAUGAAGAACCAUAGGCCACCAGGAGGCCUCCCCUCAUCCUCCCCUGCUCUGGGCUGAGCAAACAAAAUCUCCUUGUCCGCUCCUUAGACACCUUGCCCUCUAGACCCUAUAUUAUGGUCCAGAGUACAGUUGGCCAUUUUGUCUGCCAGGCCAUGCUGCUGACACAUGUUCAACUUGCUGUCAACCAGAACCCUCAGAUCCCUUAAGACAGGCAGUCAAGUGCACAUGCAGAAGUGAUAAGCUGUGUAAAAAGGUGAUAAUCAGCAAAAUAUUGAAUGAAGAUGGUAAAAUAUUGUUGGAUACUUUGAACAUCCCUUCUAUUUGAAGGAAUUUAUCUUACAGAGGCUAUCAUACUGGCUUUCAUUCACACACGAAUGCUAAUAAUUUGUUAGGGAGUAACCAUUUUGUUCUUACAGUCCCUGACAUAGUUUUCUCUCUAGGAAACUAUAACAUAGAAUUAAGAUAUUCAUACUUUAAGUCUAACUUACCUCUCGUGAAAUGUGCCAGCUGGUUAGUAGAAAUGCUUCAGUGCUCAUUUAUGCAUUUCUGAUGUCCAUUGUCAUGAAUAUAGAUACCACAGUUCUGAUACAUUGUGAGUCAAAAAUCUUCAUUACCUCUUGCAAAUUAUAAGCAAACAAGAUAAGCUACACACAAGUGCUUCUUACUCUCAAUUUCAGAAUAUUUUUCAGUGCAUUUUAAACACAUAACUGUGUGCCAAUGAGGCAUUUCCAUCAAAGCUUCAAGAGAAAUAUCUCCCACCCUCAACAGUGUAAGCAUGCUUGAGGCCCAUCUCCUGUAUGACAGAACAACACUUUGUCCAAACUCUGGAUAAUAACCAGAAAACUUAUUUUCUCCUACUGUUACCAAAGCAAUGAAAACUAUAGGAAGUUUGGUUGUUUUUUUUUCUUUGCUUGUUUUUUUUUUUU
Molecule: long non-coding RNA, 10346 nt
Organism: Lagopus muta (rock ptarmigan)
Lineage: Eukaryota; Metazoa; Chordata; Aves; Galliformes; Phasianidae
Exons: 2
Source: RefSeq, a predicted model, not a curated record